AGCCUCCCAAAGUGCUAGGAUUACAGGCAUGAGCCACCACGCCCGGCAUCUCUGACUCUCUUCUUUGUUACUCCAUGUACAUCACCAAACGGUCACUGAAGAUAAUUACAGAAUUAGGGGAUGUGGGAUACGGGAUAUAAAGGUAGAAACAGGAGGACUGAUUUAAAUGUGAUUGAAUCCAAAGAACUGGGAAUCAGAGGAAAACCCUGCAGCCAGGUCAAUCCCGUUCCAAAAAGCUGUUUAAAGAAAAUGUAGUAGAGCCAGUCUGGUGGUUAAAGUUGUCUCUGGCCACUGCAGCUGACAGACCCCGACCCACCCACCGUGCCUGUUGACAGCCAUGCAGCCCUGACUGGCACCAUCAUCCCCAGCCCGAGGGAGCAGCAGAGGCAGCUAGAUGCCCAUUCCUGCCAGCCAGUCCUUAUGUGACUGCCAGCCCAUCAGCCACAGUCGGAGGCUGCCUUCCCCAUGGAGCAGGGGCCAUUCCUCUCUCUCAGCCUCACUCGGAGCCUAGGCUUGUGCUGGGUUGCCUGCUUCCCGCUUGGAGGUCAACUUCCACCCAGGGCUUCACCUUUGGCCUCCAAGACUUUUCUUUUUUUCCUUUAACUCAGCACUCAGGCCAGGUGAGGGUGGCUCUUGCAUGUCAUCCCAGCACUUUGGGAGGCUGAGGCUGGUGGAUUGCUUGAG
Non-coding RNA from Saimiri boliviensis boliviensis (Bolivian squirrel monkey), 684 nucleotides. The record is from RefSeq and is a predicted model, not a curated record. Lineage: Eukaryota; Metazoa; Chordata; Mammalia; Primates; Cebidae.